RNAcentral lists this ribosomal RNA (492 nucleotides) under uncultured bacterium. Its description in RNAcentral is "partial 16S ribosomal RNA". It matches the Rfam family "Bacterial small subunit ribosomal RNA", at positions 29 to 507 of the family's 1533-position model. The record is from RNAcentral.
AGUGAACGCUGGCGGUGGGCCUAACACAUGCAAGUCGAACGGCAGCACAGUAAGAGCUUGCUCUUACGGGUGGCGAGUGGCGGACGGGUGAGGAGUACAUCGGAAUCUACUUUUUCGUGGGGGAUAACGUAGGGAAACUUACGCUAAUACCGCAUACGACCCACGAGUGAAAGCAGGGGAUCUUCGGACCUUGCGCGAUUGAAUGAGCCGCUGUCGGGUUAGCUAGUUGGGGGGGUAAUGUCCCAGCAAGGCGACGAUCCGUAGCCGGUCUGAGAGGAGGGUCAGCCACACGGGAACGGAGACAGGGUCCAGACUCCUACGGGAGGCCGCAGUGGGGAAUAUUGGACAAUGGGCGCGAGCCUGAUCCAGCUAUACCGAGUGGGUGAAGAAGGCCUUCGGGUUGUAAAGCCCUUUUGUUGGGAAAGAAAAGCAGCAGGUUAAGACGCCGCGGUUCUGACGGUACCCAAUGAAGAAGCACCGGCUAACUUCGUG